RNAcentral lists this unclassified non-coding RNA (242 nucleotides) under uncultured Russula. RNAcentral describes it as "sequence contains ITS2". Lineage: Eukaryota; Fungi; Basidiomycota; Agaricomycetes; Russulales; Russulaceae. The record is from RNAcentral.
AAUCAUCAAAACCCUUUUCUUUUUUGGAAAGGGAUUUUGGACUUGGAGGUUUGAUGCCCGCUUUCAUUUUUGAAAGCGAGCUCCUCUCAAAGGAAUCAGUGGGGUUUGCUUUGCCGAUCCUUGACGUGAUAAGAUGUUUCUACGUUUUGGACUUGGCACUGUGCCUGCUUCUAACCGUCUCAUGGACAACGUUGGUGCUCCGGUCACCGCCGUCUGUGGCGGGAGGCUGGACCCACAAAGAA